CAGACGCGAAAUGUGUUAUGACUUGCAAUCUUCGCGAAUCAUUUAAUCUUUGAACGCAACUUGCACCCUCGGGCUUGACCCUUGGGUAUACUUGUUUGAGUAUCGUCUAUGCUCUCACGCUUCCUUUCCCUUUCGGGGGACGGGUCGAGUGGACUUGAAGCGUAUGGGCCUCGGCUCCUUGCCUCUAAAUGCAUGAUCUUGCUCCAGGAGACAGGUCUUGCCCUUUGCCGCAAGGCAUCGGGAACCAACUUGGGAUAACGUCCAUCAAGUUUGGUUACUUGUUCCCCUUGGACCCGGCAGUCAGCAAUGGCUGUGCAGAUCAAAUGAACGUGCCACAGGCUAGCGAUAGCCUUGCGGGACAACCCUUUGACGUACCGAUCUCAAAUCAAGUAAGGUUACC
Molecule: unclassified non-coding RNA, 400 nt
Filed under: uncultured Zoopagomycota
Lineage: Eukaryota; Fungi; Zoopagomycota
Description: sequence contains ITS1
Rfam family: 5.8S ribosomal RNA (bases 1-105)
Source: RNAcentral